AUUUUUGAAAGACCCCUUUAAAUUUUUAAUAAGUUGAUGUAUGUUGUGAAAUUCAUGAAUAUAUAUUAUUUUCUAUAUGUAAUUAUUUUAAUUUUAUAAUUUACAAAAUAGUUAAUAAAUAUAUCAGGUUAUUUUACAUUUAUUUAUUGCUGUAGUAAUUAUUUAAGAAUGUGAAUAUGUAUAUAUAAACUGUUUUAGAAAUGUUGUCUUACUAUAUAAAUU
This 222-nucleotide long non-coding RNA is filed under the name Brassica napus (rape). RNAcentral describes it as "long non-coding RNA (BNAP_LNC012362)". The record is from RNAcentral. Lineage: Eukaryota; Viridiplantae; Streptophyta; Magnoliopsida; Brassicales; Brassicaceae.